Non-coding RNA from Micropterus salmoides (largemouth bass), 1437 nucleotides. The record is from the annotation of a RefSeq genome assembly. Lineage: Eukaryota; Metazoa; Chordata; Actinopteri; Centrarchiformes; Centrarchidae.
GUGAUUAAACAAGAAUUUCUUUUGGGCACCUUAUAUGUUGUGGAUAUUUUUUGUUAUUUACCAAGGAGAUGGCUGAUAUUGCACUUUGGAAUGAUCCUUGUGCAGAUAUUAUUAUUGUUUUAGCAUUAAAGACAAUGUUAUGCUAAAAUGUAUGCUGAAAGAAAUUUUCUUGUUUUAAAUUUUCAGUUUAAUUUUGUGCUCAACAAAAAAUGGUUGUACAAUUUGUCUGAGGAACAUUUUAAUACUGAAAAAAAUAAAUAUUCUUAUUUUUUCUAAUUGUUAACAGUAUUUAAAAUUAAAUCUAAAAUGACUUCAAAACUAAUAAGUGAGUUUUUUUGAACAUCCAGUAUAGCUGCUGUGUGUGUUCACAGUUCGUUAGUUUAAAGUGGUGAAAGGGAAGUGAAACAGACAGAUGACAAAGUCUUUAUCUGUAAGAGACAUUACAUUUUUAAUAAGACAAACAUUGCAGCUAUAAAUUAUUUGCUGUAACAUGUUAUUAGGCAGAUAUAAACAUUUCAUUGAAUGAUAAGUAAUCAUACUUUUCCAUUACAUUUACAGGAGAGUUGUGCUGCAUAAUUCUUAGCGAUUUAUGAUGAGUGCCAUGAGGAUUCAUUAGUUUAAAUUAAAUCUAUAAAAAUAAAAAGGGUUUUUUUUUUUAUUUGUUAAACCCUAAUUUCCUCCCAUUCCUCACCUCCUCUGCUCUGUCUGAUCACAACAUCCUGCACACAGCUGAUCCACAGUAGUGUUAACCUCUGUCCUCUAUCAUAAGUGUCUCAUGUUCAGCUGUCUGUCCUACAGUGGAAGUUGAUCUGCUCCUUGUGUGUCUCUGCUCUCCCCUCCAGCUGGCACCAUGGUCAGGCCCUCAGUCUCUCUGCUUCCCCCCUCCUCUGAGCAGCUCUCUGGGGGCUCGGCCACGCUGGCCUGCCUGCUGACUGGCUACUCUCCUCAGGGAGCUGUGGUGAGCUGGGAGGUGGACGGUACAGAGGUGACAGAGGGGGUCCUGACCAGCUCAGAGGAGGAGAAGAGCGGACGCUACAGCAGCAGCAGCACCCUGAGUCUGAGCAAGGAGCGCUGGAUGGGAGGAGAGCUGUACUCCUGCAAGGUCCUCCAUCAUGGCCACAGCCAGACACAGUCCCUCCACAGGAGCCAGUGUAAGGGUUAGAGGGGCAGGCUGAAGCUCAGGACAGGAGUUCUGUGUGUGGGGAGCAGGAGGAACACACCUGCUGCUCUGAUCAAUAUGACUUUUACUGUUUGUAGAGGAAACUAAAGCUUUGUGUGACAGAGAACAACACUGCUGUAAAGUGUUAGACAACAACAACUUAGAGAUUAAUGUGUGUAGCUCAGCAGCUAGAUGUGAGCGUGCUUAAUAACUGUCAUGUUUAUGAUUGAUGUUUUUGCUAAUAAAGCUUGCACUGAUAAAAAUCUUUAUGAAAUGUU